Spea bombifrons (plains spadefoot toad) is the source of this 611-nucleotide long non-coding RNA. RefSeq lists it as uncharacterized. NCBI's taxonomy places the organism in Eukaryota, Metazoa, Chordata, Amphibia, Anura, Pelobatidae. The transcript is spliced from 4 exons. The record is from RefSeq and is a predicted model, not a curated record.
UCAAGACUCACAGAGCCCAAGAAAACUGAAUGUGUGUUUCACAACUAAAUUGGCAAGAAAGAGAUUAGAAGAAGGCUAGUUACAUCCAUUCCUUGGGACAAACUUCGUGCCCGGUUUCCUGGCCCUUUGAUCCCGCCUCAUGUUCAGUUUGGUGCUGAUUGUCCACUGGUCCCCCCUGUGCUGAUAGAGGUGUCUCCCACUAAAAACCUGUUUGGAGCAGCCAUCUUCAGAGGGAGUGCAAGCCUGCACUAGGAGAACAAAAGAAGCCCACACUACUUGCCCUUCAAGCCCAAAUUACCACCUCGUCGACCUAAGGUGCCAGCUCAAAGGACCACAACGAUUCCAACAAUGAAGGAGCCUCAGACUGCAUCAGAAAAACCAAAUGUUGCCCUGGUGCUGCUGAAACCACGGGCCCGUCUUUCCAGAACAAAAGCCGUCAAGGAAAUUCAUCUCAUGUCAUCAGGUCCUGCGAGAGAUAAACACAGAUGUGAGUCUGUUAAAAGCCGCAAACAAAGAGCACACCACAAAAAGUGACUUAAAGGGCGCCCAUUAAUGCAUGACAGCGCUGGAGCAUAUAAAACUGUAUUAUAGAAUAAUAGUUAAUAAAAAUA